Gopherus agassizii (Agassiz's desert tortoise) is the source of this 130-nucleotide small nucleolar RNA. NCBI's taxonomy places the organism in Eukaryota, Metazoa, Chordata, Testudines, Testudinidae. The record is from Ensembl.
CAUGACCCUCAUCGCCGCUUGUGUAGCUGAUGUGGUCAAACAGGAGCUGCAAGUGACUUCUUUUCAUUGAUGGUCGCUGUUCAGUUUGUUGCUUUGUCGCUGAACAGUGACAUUUCACAAAAAUACACCU